RNAcentral lists this ribosomal RNA (301 nucleotides) under uncultured bacterium. RNAcentral's name for it is "partial 16S ribosomal RNA". It matches the Rfam family "Bacterial small subunit ribosomal RNA", at positions 509 to 807 of the family's 1533-position model. The record is from RNAcentral.
CAGUCGCCGCGGUAAAACGAAGGGUGCAAGCGUUAAUCGGAAUUACUGGGCGUAAAGCGUGCGUAGGCGGUUUGUUAAGUCUGCUGUGAAGUCCCCGGGCUCAACCUGGGAAUGGCAGUGGAUACUGACAAGCUAGAGUGUGUCAGAGGAUGGUGGAAUUCCCGGUGUAGCGGUGAAAUGCGUAGAGAUCGGGCGGAACAUCAGUGGCGAAGGCGGCCAUCUGGGACAACACUGACGCUGAGGCACGAAAGCGUGGGGAGCAAACAGGAUUAGAUACCCGCGUAGUCCCUGUCUCUUAUAC